GAUGAACGCUGGCGGCGUGCCUAAUACAUGCAAGUCGAGCGAACAGAUCAGGAGCUUGCUCCUUUGACGUUAGCGGCGGACGGGUGAGUAACACGUGGGUAACCUACCUCUAAGACUGGGAUAACUUCGGGAAACCGGAGCUAAUACCGGGUAAUAUUUCGAACCGGAUGGUUCGAUAGUGAAAGAGGGUUUUGCUAUCACUUAUAGAUGGACCCGCGCCGUAUGAGCGAGUUGGUAAGGUAACGGCUUAGCAAGGCGGUGAUACGUAGCCGACCUGAGAGGGGGAUGGGCGCCUCUGGAAGUGAGACGCGACACUGGGACCUAGGGGAGGCAGCGGUAGCGACGCUAGGGAGAUGUGGGGAAGAUUGACGGAGCAGCGCCGGGCUGAUGCUGAAGGUCUGCGUAGCGGAAAACUGUGUUAUUAGGGUAGACUCUACGUGUAAGUGACUGUGCACGUCGUGACGGUACCUAAUCAGAAAGCAACGGCUAACUACGUG
Molecule: ribosomal RNA, 497 nt
Filed under: uncultured bacterium
Lineage: Bacteria
Description: partial 16S ribosomal RNA
Rfam family: Bacterial small subunit ribosomal RNA
Source: RNAcentral